GACGAACGCUGGCGGCGUGCCUAAUACAUGCAAGUCGAACGCAGUGGGGACGGGUGAGUAACACGUGGGUAACCUCCCAUCAGAGGGGAUAACACUUGGAAACAGGUGCUAAACCGAUAUUGAUGGAUGGACCCGCGGGGCAUUAGCUAGUUGGUGAGGUAACGGCUCACCAAGGCCACGAUGCAUAGCCGACCUGAGAGGAUGAGCAGUCACACUGGAACUGAGAACCGGUCCAGACUCCUACGGGAGGCAGCAGUGGGGAAUAUUGGACAAUGGGCGAAAGCCUGAUCCAGCCAUGCCGCGUGUGUGAAGAAGGCCUUCGGGUUGUAAAGCACUGUCAGCGGGGAGGCGUUACCCGAAGAAGAAGCACCGGCUAACUCCGUGCCAGCAGCCGCGGUAAUUC
RNAcentral lists this ribosomal RNA (403 nucleotides) under uncultured bacterium. RNAcentral describes it as "partial 16S ribosomal RNA". It matches the Rfam family "Bacterial small subunit ribosomal RNA", at positions 28 to 526 of the family's 1533-position model. The record is from RNAcentral.